Long non-coding RNA from Dreissena polymorpha, 1364 nucleotides. RefSeq lists it as uncharacterized. The transcript has 2 exons. NCBI's taxonomy places the organism in Eukaryota, Metazoa, Mollusca, Bivalvia, Myida, Dreissenidae. The record is from RefSeq and is a predicted model, not a curated record.
UCCUUAGAAACUGCAGGAGUUGUGUGAAACGACAGGACGGUCGAAGGUACGUGCGCGAUUGCGAUGUGACCUACACGUUAAACGGAUGUCUGAAGAAUACGGAUCUGCAGCAAAGUGCCUGCUACUGCGACACAGACCACUGUAAUGGUGCCAUUAGCUGGGCACACGUGACCGGAAACCACGUGAUUAUUCUUGUGGUCACCACGGUGAUGACGUUUUUCGGGUUAUGAACUGUGGCGCAUUCGCAGUAUACGGUCUCUAGUCAAAUUUUUCAAAUAGUUACUGACUUUUUAAAUAAAUUCUUUUUAGAAAUUAUGGCAUAGUUAAGCAGAAAUGUAUUAGCAUGUAACGACGCACCAUAUAUGAAUUGUUCAUUUUGUACAUGAAAUAACAUUUCAAAAGCAACGUUUCUAUGUUUCAUUUUUUUUUUGUUUAUUCUCAUAUUUUCAUUAAAAUUCGAAAUAAUUAAAUUAUUUGUUAACGUGCCAUUGAACAAUUCUAACGCAUUGAACCACUUUAAAAGGCUUAUCAGGAACGACACUUUCCGCUUUUAUGGAAGUUUUUUUUCCAUUCAAUUGAACUAUUCUCAACUAAAAUCGAGUUUAGGCGGACAUCACACGCUAAUCUGUGAUGACACUACGUAUAUGCAUUAAGCCCAGUUUUCGCAUAACGCGGCUAAUCUUUUAACGGUAUUGGGCGCUUUUGAAACUAACACGUUGUCGCUUUUAUUGUUUUCUUCUCUGUGAAAUAGACAUUAUUCCUUUUCAUUAAAAUGUGGCCCGUUUUAAAAUGCAUUAAAUAAUUUCGGUAGACUGGUGCUUUAAGUCGCCAAUCACGAACUUAACUGGAUUCCCGUUCCAUAAUAUAUUUUAUAUAAAUUUUGUAUAGUUAUGUUUGGUUUUCGAAUGAAGACUUCACACUCAUAUUCUUGUCUCUCAAGCUUUAUUAUAUUAAAACAAUUUAUACAAGAAAAUAUAACUGAAAUACAACACACAACUUGUUAAUUUUGAUUGGCAAUAGCAAAUAAAUAACGACUGGGUGUUCCGUUACAAAGGAAUAAAACAACGACGGCGUUAUCUUCUAUACGUCACAUUUGUUAAUUAAAUCUGAAUUAAUAACGCUAGUAACGUUGUUGGUAAUAUUUAUUAAGACAUUAAACACUAUUAUUUUGUUAUGAAUAUACAGACAAAAAGAACAAAGUUUCAAUUCGAUGCCAGAAUGAAUGAUAAACUGUAAGAUGUUGAGCUAUAUAUCCAAACGAACAAACUGACAAGCGUUGUGCAAAAAAAAAACUGAAAUUUUAAUAUAUACAACUAAAGCCUGGUACUCCAACGAUACCCUCGUAAUUUGUAUUUGAUUAUUUU